Molecule: signal recognition particle RNA, 148 nt
Filed under: Chlorocebus sabaeus (green monkey)
Lineage: Eukaryota; Metazoa; Chordata; Mammalia; Primates; Cercopithecidae
Description: Metazoan signal recognition particle RNA
Rfam family: Metazoan signal recognition particle RNA
About the family: The signal recognition particle (SRP) is a universally conserved ribonucleoprotein. It is involved in the co-translational targeting of proteins to membranes.
Source: Rfam by way of RNAcentral
GCUGGGUGUGGUGGUGCAUGCCUGUAAUCCCAGCUACUUGGGAGGCUGAAGCAUGAGAAUCACUUGAACCCAGGAGGCAGAGGUUGCAGUGAGCUGAGAUUGAGCCACUGCACUUCAGCCUGGGUGACAGAGUGAGACCCUGUCUCAA